Molecule: ribosomal RNA, 164 nt
Filed under: uncultured bacterium
Lineage: Bacteria
Description: partial 16S rRNA
Rfam family: Bacterial small subunit ribosomal RNA
Source: RNAcentral
UAGGGAAUCUUCGGCAAUGGGGCAACCCUGACCGAGCAACGCCGCGUGAGUGAAGAAGGUUUUCGGAUCGUAAAGCUCUGUUGUAAGAGAAGAACGUGUGUGAGAGUGGAAAGUUCACACAGUGACGGUAACUUACCAGAAAGGGACGGCUAACUACGUGCCAG